Molecule: unclassified non-coding RNA, 353 nt
Filed under: soil metagenome
Description: partial contains 5.8S ribosomal RNA, internal transcribed spacer 2, and large subunit ribosomal RNA
Rfam family: 5.8S ribosomal RNA (bases 1-120)
Source: RNAcentral
GAUGAAGAACGUAGCGAAAUGCGAUAAGUAAUGUGAAUUGCAGAAUUCAGUGAAUCAUCGAAUCUUUGAACGCACAUUGCGCCCGCCAGUAUUCUGUCGGGCAUGCCUGUUCGAGCGUCAUUACAACCCUCAGGCCCCCGGGCCUGGCGUUGGGGAUCGGCGGAAGCCCCCUGCGGGCACAACGCCGUCCCCCAAAUACAGUGGCGGUCCCGCCGCAGCUUCCAUUGCGUAGUAGCUAACACCUCGCAACUGGAGAGCGGCGCGGCCACGCCGUAAAACACCCAACUUCUGAAUGUUGACCUCGAAUCAGGUAGGAAUACCCGCUGAACUUAAGCAUAUCAAUAAGCGGAGGA